This 498-nucleotide ribosomal RNA is filed under the name uncultured bacterium. Its description in RNAcentral is "partial 16S ribosomal RNA". It matches the Rfam family "Bacterial small subunit ribosomal RNA", at positions 30 to 523 of the family's 1533-position model. The record is from RNAcentral.
AUUGAACGCUGGCGGCAUGCCUUACACAUGCAAGUCGAACGGUAACAGGUCUUCGGAUGCUGACGAGUGGCGAACGGGUGAGUAAUACAUCGGAACGUGCCUAGUAGUGGGGGAUAACUACUCGAAAGAGUGGCUAAUACCGCAUGAGAUCUACGGAUGAAAGCAGGGGAUCGCAAGACCUUGUGCUACUAGAGCGGCCGAUGGCAGAUUAGGUAGUUGGUGGGAUAAAAGCUUACCAAGCCGACGAUCUGUAGCUGGUCUGAGAGGACGAUCGGCCACCCUGGGACUGAGAAACGUCCCAGACUCCGACCGAAGGCAGCAGUGGGGAAUUUUGGACAAUGGGCGCAAGCCUGAUUCAGCAAUGCCGCGUGCAGGAUGAAGGCCUUCGGGUUGUAAACUGCUUUUGUACGGAACGAAAAGCCCCGGGUUAAUACCCUGGGGUCAUGACGGUACCGUAAGAAUAAGCACCGGCUAACUACGUGCCAGCCGCCGCAGUAA